This 1432-nucleotide ribosomal RNA is filed under the name uncultured bacterium. RNAcentral describes it as "bacterial SSU rRNA". It matches the Rfam family "Bacterial small subunit ribosomal RNA". The record is from RNAcentral.
AGAGUUUGAUCCUGGCUCAGGACGAACGCUGGCGGCGUGCCUAAUACAUGCAAGUCGAGCGAGCUUGCCUAGAUGAUUUUAGUGCUUGCACUAAAUGAAACUAGAUACAAGCGAGCGGCGGACGGGUGAGUAACACGUGGGUAACCUGCCCAAGAGACUGGGAUAACACCUGGAAACAGAUGCUAAUACCGGAUAACAACACUAGACGCAUGUCUAGAGUUUGAAAGAUGGUUCUGCUAUCACUCUUGGAUGGACCUGCGGUGCAUUAGCUAGUUGGUAAGGUAACGGCUUACCAAGGCAAUGAUGCAUAGCCGAGUUGAGAGACUGAUCGGCCACAUUGGGACUGAGACACGGCCCAAACUCCUACGGGAGGCAGCAGUAGGGAAUCUUCCACAAUGGACGAAAGUCUGAUGGAGCAACGCCGCGUGAGUGAAGAAGGGUUUCGGCUCGUAAAGCUCUGUUGGUAGUGAAGAAAGAUAGAGGUAGUAACUGGCCUUUAUUUGACGGUAAUUACUUAGAAAGUCACGGCUAACUACGUGCCAGCAGCCGCGGUAAUACGUAGGUGGCAAGCGUUGUCCGGAUUUAUUGGGCGUAAAGCGAGUGCAGGCGGUUCAAUAAGUCUGAUGUGAAAGCCUUCGGCUCAACCGGAGAAUUGCAUCAGAAACUGUUGAACUUGAGUGCAGAAGAGGAGAGUGGAACUCCAUGUGUAGCGGUGGAAUGCGUAGAUAUAUGGAAGAACACCAGUGGCGAAGGCGGCUCUCUGGUCUGCAACUGACGCUGAGGCUCGAAAGCAUGGGUAGCGAACAGGAUUAGAUACCCUGGUAGUCCAUGCCGUAAACGAUGAGUGCUAAGUGUUGGGAGGUUUCCGCCUCUCAGUGCUGCAGCUAACGCAUUAAGCACUCCGCCUGGGGAGUACGACCGCAAGGUUGAAACUCAAAGGAAUUGACGGGGACCCGCACAAGCGGUGGAGCAUGUGGUUUAAUCCGAAGCAACGCGAAGAACCUUACCAGGCCUUGACAUCCUGAUGGCGGGACAUGCAAUGUGUCCUUCCCUCUGGGGCAUCAGUGACAGGUGGUGCAUGGUUGUCGUCAGCUCGUGUCGUGAGAUGUUGGGUUAAGUCCCGCAACGAGCGCAACCCCUGUCCACAGUAGCCAGCGCCAAGGGCGGGCACUCUGUGGAGACUGCCGGGGACAACCCGGAGGAAGGCGGGGAUGACGUCAAAUCAUCAUGCCCCUUAUGGCCUGGGCUACACACGUGCUACAAUGGCGCAGACAGAGGGAUGCGAAGCCGCGAGGCGGAGCGGACCCCAGAAAUGGCGCCCCAGUUCGGACUGCAGCCUGCAACCCGGCUGCACGAAGCCGGAAUCGCUAGUAAUCGCGGAUCAGAAUGCCGCGGUGAAUACGUUCCCGGGUCUUGUACUCACCGCCCGUCA